RNAcentral lists this ribosomal RNA (439 nucleotides) under uncultured bacterium. RNAcentral's name for it is "partial 16S ribosomal RNA". It matches the Rfam family "Bacterial small subunit ribosomal RNA", at positions 339 to 795 of the family's 1533-position model. The record is from RNAcentral.
CUACGGGAGGCAGCAGUGGGGAAUCUUAGACAAUGGGCGCAAGCCUGAUCUAGCCAUGCCGCGUGAGCGAUGAAGGCCUUAGGGCUGUAAAGCUCUUUCAGCGAGGAAGAUAAUGACUGUACUCGCAGAAGAAGCCCCGGCUAACUCCGUGCCAGCAGCCGCGGUAAUACGGAGGGGGCUAGCGUUGUUCGGAAUUACUGGGCGUAAAGCGCACGUAGGCGGAUCAGAAAGUCAGAGGUGAAAUCCCAGGGCUCAACCUUGGAACUGCCUUUGAAACUCCUGAUCUUGAGUUCGAGAGAGGUGAGUGGAAUUCCGAGUGUAGAGGUGAAAUUCGUAGAUAUUCGGAGGAACACCAGUGGCGAAGGCGGCUCACUGGCUCGAUACUGACGCUGAGGUGCGAAAGCGUGGGGAGCAAACAGGAUUAGAUACCCCAGUAGUC